RNAcentral lists this ribosomal RNA (1551 nucleotides) under metagenome. RNAcentral describes it as "bacterial SSU rRNA". It matches the Rfam family "Bacterial small subunit ribosomal RNA". The record is from RNAcentral.
AGAGUUUGAUCCUGGCUCAGAGUGAACGCUGGCGGCGUGGAUUAGGCAUGCAAGUCGAGCGAUCCUUGUCGAGCCACAUUGAGUCUGCUUGCAGAUGAGAUGUGGUGAGACGUUGGAUAGCGGCAAACGGGUUAGUAACACGUGAGGAAUCUGCCUCGAAGUCGAACAUAGCUUCGUGAAAACGGAGGUAAUAUUCGAUGUGGUCCCAUUAUCGCAUGGUGAUGGGAUUAAAGAUGGGGACCGCAAGGCCUAUCACUUCGGGAUGACCUCGCGUCCUAUCAGCUAGUUGGUAGGGUAACGGCCUACCAAGGCUUUUGACGGGUAGCUGGUCUGAGAGGACGACCAGCAACACUGGGACUGAGACACUGCCCAGACUCCUACGGGAGGCUGCAGUCGAGAAUCUUUAGCAAUGGGCGAAAGCCUGACUAUGCGACGCCGCGUGCAGGAUGAAGGCCUUCGGGUUGUAAACUGCUUUUUUCAGGGAAGAAUCCUUUGACUCUAACAUAAGCAAAGUUGACGGUACCUGACGAAUAAGCCACGGCCAACUCCGUGCCAGCAGCCGCGGUAAUACGGAGGUGGCGAGCGUUACUCGGAAUCAUUGGGUGUAAAGGGCAAGUAGGCGGCCUAUUAAGUGAGGGGUGAAAUCUUCCGGCUCAAUCGGAAAAUUGCCUUUCAAACUGGUAGGCUUGAGGUUGGGAGAGGGAAACGGAAUUAGCGGUGUAAGGGUGAAAUCUGUAGAUAUCGCUAAGAACACCAGCGGCGAAGGCGGUUUCCUGGCCCAAAUCUGACGCUGAAUUGCGAAAGCUAGGGGAGCAAACAGAAUUAGAUACUCUGGUAGUCCUAGCCGUGAACGAUGAGCACUAGGUGUUGGUCCUUCGGGGCCAGUGCCGCAGCUAACGCAUUAAGUGCUCCACCUGGGGACUACGGCCGCAAGGCUAAAACUCAAAGGAAUUGACGGGGACCCGCACAAGCGGUGGAACAUGUGGUUUAAUUCGAAGCUACGCGAAAAACCUCACCAGGGCUUGACAUGUAGGUAGUAGUGAACUGAAAGGGGAACCACCCGUAAAGUCGGGAGCUUACACAGGUGCUGCAUGGCUGUCGUCAGCUCGUGUCGUGAGAUGUUGGGUUAAGUCCCGCAACGAGCGCAACCAUUGCCCCAUGUUGCCCCUCCCCAUUUGCUUUCGUAAGAAAGCGUGGGGACGCACUCUUGGGGGACUGCCUGGGAUAACCAGGAGGAAGGUGGAGAUGACGUCAAGUCAGUACGGCCUUUAUGUCCUGGGCUACACACGUGUUACAAUGGCUGGUACAGAGGGUUGCCAACCCGCAAGGGGGAGCUAAUCUCAAAAAGCCAGCCUCAGUUCGGAUUGGAGUCUGCAAUUCGGCUCCAUGAAGCCGAAAUCGCUAGUAAUGGGAGAUCAGCACGCUCCCGUGAAUACGUUCCCGGGUCUUGUACACACCGCCCGUCAAGCGAUAAGAGCUGGGAGUACCCGAAGUCCUAUGUAGGUAGGCCGAAGGUAAAACCGGUGAUUGGCGCUAAGUCGGAACAAGGUA